Molecule: ribosomal RNA, 320 nt
Filed under: uncultured eukaryote
Lineage: Eukaryota
Description: partial 18S ribosomal RNA
Rfam family: Eukaryotic small subunit ribosomal RNA
Source: RNAcentral
CCCUUAGAUGUUCUGGGCUGCACGCGUGUUACAAUCGGGAGUACAACAAGAUUGCAAGUCCUAGUGGAUGAGUGGUUCUUCGAAAUUUUCUGAAGACUGGGAUAGUUGAUUGAAAUUAUUCAACUCGAACGAGGAAUUCCUUGUAAUUGUAAUUCAUUAUAUUGUAAUGAAUACAUCCCUGCCCUUUGUACACACCGCCCGUCGCUCCUACCGAUUGAACGAUCCGGUGAAUUAUUUGGAGUAGCUCUGGAAGUUGCAGAACUUCCUAUGUCACGAAAUUUUGUAAACCUUAUCGUUUAGAGGAAGGAAAAGUCGUAACA